This 465-nucleotide ribosomal RNA is filed under the name uncultured bacterium. RNAcentral describes it as "partial 16S ribosomal RNA". It matches the Rfam family "Bacterial small subunit ribosomal RNA", at positions 28 to 507 of the family's 1533-position model. The record is from RNAcentral.
GAUGAACGCUGGCGGCGUGCUUAACACAUGCAAGUCGAACGGAAAGGCUCCUGCUUGCAGGGGUACUCGAGUGGCGAACGGGUGAGUAACACGUGGGUGAUCUGCCCUGCACUUCGGGAUAAGCCUGGGAAACUGGGUCUAAUACCGGAUAGGACCACAUUUUGGAUGGUGUGGUAGAAAGUUUUUCGGUGUGGGAUGAGCUCGCGGCCUAUCAGCUUGUUGGUGGGGUAAUGGCCUACCAAGGCGUCGACGGGUAGCCGGCCUGAGAGGGUGUACGGCUACAUUGGGACUGAGAUACGGCCCAGACUCCUACGGGAGGCAGCAGUGGGGAAUAUUGCACAAUGGGCGCAAGCCUGAUGCAGCGACGCCGCGUGGGGGAUGACGGCCUUCGGGUUGUAAACUCCUUUCGCUAGGGACGAAGCGCAAGUGACGGUACCUGGAGAAGAAGCACCGGCUAACUACGUG